Non-coding RNA from Haloplasma contractile SSD-17B, 107 nucleotides. The record is from Rfam. Lineage: Bacteria; Bacillati; Mycoplasmatota; Mollicutes; Haloplasmatales; Haloplasmataceae.
AGAAGGCUGUGAAGUGAAAGGUUGCUGACACACCCGGGUGCAUUGUUUUGGCAAAAUGGUGUAAUCAGGUAAUUUUCAUGGAGCAAGUCUAUUUUAAAAAUAGGCGA